UACGAGGGGGGCAAGCGUUGUUCGGAAUUAUUGGGCGUAAAGGGUGCGUAGGCGGUUUGAUAAGUCACAUGUGAAAUCUUCGGGCUCAACCCGAAGUCUGCAUGCGAAACUGUCGGGCUUGAGUAUGGGAGAGGUGAGUGGAAUUUCCGGUGUAGCGGUGAAAUGCGUAGAUAUCGGAAGGAACACCUGUGGCGAAAGCGGCUCACUGGACCAUAACUGACACUGAGAGACGAAAGCCAGGGGAGCAAACGGG
RNAcentral lists this ribosomal RNA (253 nucleotides) under uncultured bacterium. Its description in RNAcentral is "partial 16S ribosomal RNA". It matches the Rfam family "Bacterial small subunit ribosomal RNA", at positions 524 to 776 of the family's 1533-position model. The record is from RNAcentral.